RNAcentral lists this ribosomal RNA (253 nucleotides) under uncultured bacterium. RNAcentral's name for it is "partial 16S ribosomal RNA". It matches the Rfam family "Bacterial small subunit ribosomal RNA", at positions 524 to 776 of the family's 1533-position model. The record is from RNAcentral.
UACGUAGGGGGCAAGCGUUGUCCGGAAUCAUUGGGCGUAAAGCGCGUGUAGGCGGCCAGGUAAGUCCGUUCUGAAAGCCCGGGGCUCAACCCCGGGAGGCGGAUGGAUACUGCUUGGCUCGAGUCCAGAAGAGGCGAGUGGAAUUCCCGGUGUAGCGGUGAAAUGCGCAGAUAUCGGGAGGAACACCAAUGGCGAAGGCAGCUCGCUGGGACGGUACUGACGCUGAGACGCGAAAGCGUGGGGAGCAAACAGG